RNAcentral lists this ribosomal RNA (464 nucleotides) under uncultured bacterium. RNAcentral describes it as "partial 16S ribosomal RNA". It matches the Rfam family "Bacterial small subunit ribosomal RNA", at positions 339 to 795 of the family's 1533-position model. The record is from RNAcentral.
CUACGGGACGCAGCAGUGGGGAAUAUUGGACAAUGGGGGAAACCCUGAUCCAGCAAUGCCGCGUGUGUGAAGAAGGCCUGCGGGUUGUAAAGCACUUUCGGUUGGGAGGACUGCUUCUAGCACUAAUAUUGUUGGAAGUUGACGUUACCUUCAGAAGAAGCACCGGCUAACUCCGUGCCAGCAGCCGCGGUAAUACGGAGGGUGCAAGCGUAAUCGGAAUUACUGGGCGUAAAGCGCGCGUAGGCGGCUAGAUCAGUCGGGUGUGAAAGCCCCGGGCUUAACCUGGGAACUGCAUCCGAUACUGUCUAGCUUGAGUACAGGAGAGGAGAGUGGAAUUCCACAUGUAGCGGUGAAAUGCGUAGAUAUGUGGAGGAACACCAAUGGCGAAGGCAGCUCUCUGGCCUGAUACUGACGCUGAGGUGCGAAAGCGUGGGGAGCAAACAGGAUUAGAUACCCGGGUAGUC